AGUUUUGGGGAGUAAAAUUUUGAGAAAAAAAUAAAUAGGAGAGUAAAAUUUUGGUGGGAAAUGGAUUUUGGGUAGAUUGGGGGGUUGGGAGGGGAGGAGAGUAAAAGUUUUGGGGGAAAAGUGGGAAGGAGUAAAAGUUUUGAGGGAAAAGUAAAAAGGUUUGGGAGUUUGGGGUAAAAAUGUAAAAUAUUAUAGUUUGAUAUUCGAAUUAUUCGAGUUAUUCGAAUUCGAAAACUCAACUCGAUUCGAACUCGAAAUUCAAAAAAAAAAAUUCGAGUUGAUUCGAAU
RNAcentral lists this long non-coding RNA (288 nucleotides) under Gossypium raimondii (Peruvian cotton). Its description in RNAcentral is "long non-coding RNA (GRAI_LNC004164)". The record is from RNAcentral. Lineage: Eukaryota; Viridiplantae; Streptophyta; Magnoliopsida; Malvales; Malvaceae.